Molecule: ribosomal RNA, 498 nt
Filed under: uncultured bacterium
Lineage: Bacteria
Description: bacterial SSU rRNA
Rfam family: Bacterial small subunit ribosomal RNA
Source: RNAcentral
AGAGUUUGAUCAUGGCUCAGGAUGAACGCUAGCGGCAGGCUUAACACAUGCAAGUCGAGGGGUAAAUAUAGCAAUAUAUGAGACCGGCAAACGGGUGCGGAACACGUACUGAACCUACCUUUAUCUGGGGCAUAGCCCGGAGAAAUCCGGAUUAACUCCCCAUAGUAUCAUUGGAUGGCAUCAUUUGGUGAUUAAAAACUCCGGUGGUUAAAGAUGGGCAUGCGGCUGAUUAGCUAGUUGGUGAGGUAAUGGCUCACCAAGGCUACGAUCAGUAGGGGGUCUGAGAGGAUGUCCCCCCACACUGGUACUGAGACACGGACCAGACUCCUACGGGAGGCAGCAGUAGAGAAUAUUGGUCAAUGGACGAAAGUCUGAACCAGCCAUGCCGCGUGCAGGAUGACUGCCCUAUGGGUUGUAAACUGCUUUUAUACGGGGAGAAACCCCUGAACGUGUUCGGGGCUGACGGUACUGUAUGAAUAAGGAUCGGCUAACUUCGUG